AGCAGUUAAAGGUUGUAUCUCUACAAAGAAAAAGAGCUGAGAAGGCCACUGCAGCUGUUCUGUCUAUAUUAGAGGACCAUUCAAUAGAUGAUGUUUCGGAGGAAUUCAGCUCAGGCUCUGAUAAGGAAACAAUCUUAUCUGAUCAAAAAGAUGCUGGAAAUAAAACAGGAGGGGACAUUUCGUCAAGUGCGAAAGAGAAAGAAGAUGACGUGGACAUAUUGUCAAGUUCGGG
This 232-nucleotide unclassified non-coding RNA is filed under the name Hevea brasiliensis (rubber tree). The record is from RNAcentral. Lineage: Eukaryota; Viridiplantae; Streptophyta; Magnoliopsida; Malpighiales; Euphorbiaceae.